GGCGGCGUGCUUAACACAUGCAAGUCGAGCGGAAAGGCCCCUUCGGGGGUACUCGAGCGGCGAACGGGUGAGUAACACGUGAGCAACCUGCCCCUGACUUUGGGAUAAGCCCGGGAAACUGGGUCUAAUACCGGAUAUGACCACUGCGGGCAUGUGGGGUGGUGGAAAGUUUUUCGGUUGGGGAUGGGCUCGCGGCCUAUCAGCUUGUUGGUGGGGUGAUGGCCUACCAAGGCGACGACGGGUAACCGGCCUGAGAGGGCGACCGGUCACACUGGGACUGAGACACGGCCCAGACUCCUACGGGAGGCAGCAGUGGGGAAUAUUGCGCAAUGGGCGGAAGCCUGACGCAGCGACGCCGCGUGGGGGAUGACGGCCUUCGGGUUGUAAACCUCUUUCAGCAGGGACGAAGGGUGACUGACGGUACCUGCAGAAGAAGCGCCGGCUAACUACGUGCCAGCAGCCGCGGUAAUACGUAGGGCGCAAGCGUUGUCCGGAAUUAUUGGGCGUAAAGAGCUCGUAGGCGGUUUGUCGCGUCUGUCGUGAAAGCCCACGGCUUAACCGUGGGUCUGCGGUGGAUACGGGCAGACUAGAGGCAGGUAGGGGAGAAUGGAAUUCCCGGUGUAGCGGUGAAAUGCGCAGAUAUCGGGAGGAACACCGGUGGCGAAGGCGGUUCUCUGGGCCUGUACUGACGCUGAGGAGCGAAAGCGUGGGGAGCGAACAGGAUUAGAUACCCUGGUAGUCCACGCCGUAAACGUUGGGCGCUAGGUGUGGGGUUCUUCCACGGAUUCCGCGCCGCAGCUAACGCAUUAAGCGCCCCGCCUGGGGAGUACGGCCGC
This 836-nucleotide ribosomal RNA is filed under the name Actinomadura sp. IM-7177. RNAcentral describes it as "bacterial SSU rRNA". It matches the Rfam family "Bacterial small subunit ribosomal RNA", at positions 38 to 889 of the family's 1533-position model. The record is from RNAcentral. Lineage: Bacteria; Bacillati; Actinomycetota; Actinomycetes; Streptosporangiales; Thermomonosporaceae.